Mycena haematopus is the source of this 109-nucleotide non-coding RNA. NCBI's taxonomy places the organism in Eukaryota, Fungi, Basidiomycota, Agaricomycetes, Agaricales, Mycenaceae. The record is from the annotation of a GenBank genome assembly.
UCCAGCAUGGUGUAGCGGUAACAUCGGUGCCUUUCAGGCCGUCCAGGUGGCAUGUCACGUGGUCCAACUGAUAUCGCACUAGCCCGGGGUUCGACUCCCCGUACUGGAA